This is a long non-coding RNA of Chionomys nivalis (European snow vole), 5697 nucleotides long. RefSeq lists it as uncharacterized. The transcript has 37 exons. The record is from RefSeq and is a predicted model, not a curated record. Lineage: Eukaryota; Metazoa; Chordata; Mammalia; Rodentia; Cricetidae.
CCUGCUGGGAAGCUGAGCAUGAGCAGGGUCCGCAGCUGCGCAGAGAAAGAAAUGGAGGGUCCUAAACUGACAAGGUCGGCCUCUCUUCGGGGUGAAAGCAUUGGCAGGAGUUUAUCACAGGAAGAACACGGGAGAAGUGAAGUAAUCCAGGGGAGGAUGUGAGGAGACACAGCUAUCAAGUAUGUGCCAUCCUACAGGAUAAGUUCAUCUGUCUGCUGGGUAUCCUUCAACAACGUAAAUGCUGCUCCUAUCCUACAGUGGCAUGGACUGUGGACACAGAUGGCCAUACCUCAGAGAUGGAGUGAAUCUUCGUCAGUCGAAGGAUGGAGGCAGAGACAGAGACCCUCAUCAGAGCAACGGACUGAGCUCCCAAGGUCCAGUUGAAGAGCAGAAAGAGGGAGAAGUCAGGACCUUGGAGGGGUGUCUCACUGGGACCCACAUCUCACAGAUUAGACUGAUUUACCAGCUGAGGAACAUGAGGGUUUCUCUGCAGCUUUGGAGUCUAUCCUGGAACUAGCUCUUGUAGAUCAGGCUGGCCUUGAACUCACAGAGAUCCACCUGCCUCUGCCUCCUGAGUGCUGGGAUUAAAGAUGUGUCUUUGAGUACCUGCCUGGUGUCUUCAGAGGUCAGAAAAUGGUGUGAGAUCUCUUGGACCUGGGGUUAUAGAUAUUUAAAACAACUGGACAAGCUCUCUGCUUCUUGCCCGUGGAUACGAUGAGAUCAGCUGCCUCAAGCCCUUGCCUGCCACUUGAAUCAUCGCAAUUCUACAUGGAACUAAACUCCAAACCAUCAUAGAAGCCCAAAGGGACCUGACCAACUGAGCCUUCAGGAAAACAUGCUUAGUGAAUCUCAAUCUAUUUUCCCCAGCAGAGACACAAACCAGAAGAGGCCACCAGAACUCACUACAGAUGGUUGUGAGCCACCAUGUGGUUGCUGGGAGUUGAACUCAGGACCUUUGGAAGAGCAGGCAAUGCUCUUAACCGCUGAGCCAUCUCUCCAGCCCCGGUUGGACUUUAUUUCCAUUUCCCCUGGUUGGUGCUGAGAUUUUUUGCCAGAUCCAUGAGGCUGGAAGGGAGAUGGCUGAUGAUGAGAUCUCAUGCAGGAUGAAGUGCUCCCAAGUCUCAUCUCUGUAUAUUGUCCCAUUGCGAGUCUCUGGGCUAUUUCUUAUCUACCACAAGAAGAAGCUCCUCUGAUGAGAGUUAAGUGAUACACUGAUUUAUGUGCUCUAUGGGUCUAGCAAUAUUCCAUUUGGAAUCAUUUUACUGUUUUGUUCCUUUUGCAGGAUAAUAGUGGUUUCCCCCAAGGUCCAUAUCUUUCUAUUCUGAGGUUCUUGUAACAUAUUAACAGUGUCAGGUAUGGGGUUUGUUCUAUGAAGUGGGCUAGAAGUCCAAUCGAAGAGGGGGGGCGAUUACUCCAAUAAUAUUGGUGCCACUAUUACACCUGUAUAUUGUGCAGGCAUGUCACGAUUGAAGGUUGCAAAGUUUAUUACUGAGUGAUAAUGGUUAUUUGUUUGUUCCUCCCCCAACAUACAGAGUACCUUCCAGCACUAUGAACAUUAAGGAUAAAGCUUCUAGUUGGGUAUCAGCCCAAUUUCUCCAUGUUUGAUGACAGAAGGUCUCACCAUGCUGCUCAUGAUAAUCUCAGACUCAGGCACAGAGGAGGGACUUCUCGCCUGUCUCCUGUGUAUCUUUCACUGAGGAUACAAACCACACAGCAAGCUGGUGGUAUUGUAAUAGAAUGUCGACCUACUGUUCUUUUUCUUGAAUAAUUUGCCUGAGAUCAACAUUCAGUCAAUGAUCGGUGAAGCAGCAUCCACCUGAAUCUUCUCCUUUAUAACCACUGGGAAAGUACUGAGCCUUGUCAGAGUCCUAGGAAUCUUGCAUAUUUCUGAUACUGUGUCUGACUGCUGCUUGGUGAGGUAGUAGUUCAAGCCAUAAAGCCGUGCUCCUCUUCCCAUCCUGAGAAGCUCACAAUGGAGACCAUUACACUUAUCAUAUGGCUUUCUCUUCCCUCGUCUGCAAUGGUCACUGAGCCUUGGGAGGAGGACUGUGUGAUACAGAUGCCCCAUGUUCAACAUGUUCAGCAAACUCAGUCACUCAUUCUCUGCACCCUGAUCGGUUGUAGGCUUCUGAAUUAAUUGCUUUUUACUGCAAAGAGAAGCUCCUCUGCCAAGUGUUCAAGGCACAGAAAUAGCAGCCAGGAAUGUUGCGUAUUUCUGAUACUGUGUCGGGAGGUAGUAGUUCAAGCCAUAAAGCUGUGCUUCCGCUUCCCAUCCUGAGAAGCUCACACCGGAGACCAUUACUCUUAGUCUAUGGCAUGUGGACCUGCUUUAUCAGGGUUUUGAUGAGUUUGAUACCAAACAGAAACAAAGAGUGACUUUGAAAAUGUCAUUUUAUUUGAGAACGUGGGAAGAGGAUGCAGAGCCUGGGCUUUCAAGAGCAGUCAGGAAAUUUUCAUUUCUCCAGCAUCCUGUGACAAGGAAGGAGCCUAUGGAACACCAAUGAAGCCUCAUCUACCAGAAAGGGCGUAAAGGUUUGUCUGUGUAACAGCCUUAGUUGUUCUGGAACUAGCUUGGAAGACCAGACUGACCUCAAACUCAGAGAUUGUCCUGCUUCUUCCUCCCAAGUGCUGGGACUAAAGGGCUUACAGAACUGCUCCUGAUAACCACAGACGCAGGCACGGAGGAAGUAUUUCUUCCCAACUUUGGAGAAGGUUUCAUGAAAGAGAAAUUCAUCACACCUAGAUGGUGAAUCUGAUUGUGCUGCUCAGUGAGGUUCCAACUCAAGUCGUAGAGCCAAGCUUCCACUCUGCAUCCCGAGCUGACACUGGAGGAGAAUAUUUCCCUGAAACUUCUUUGAGGAAACCUUCCAGGAUAAUGUGUGAUGGACAUGGCAAGGAUGAAUGUUCCUGGUUACUAUUCAACAUGCAGAAGUGCUGUCCUUAAUGGCUCUGCACAGGUAUUCGCAUGGUAAAUUUUCGUGAGCAGUCAGGAAAGGAAACAAACAACAAGAUGACUUGAAAUGGGAUACAGAUUUGCUGAGCCUUCAUUACUCUUUCAACUGGAUCAUGAAACAAGUUGGAUUUUUUUUUUUGUGGGAUGAUGGAUAAUACAGAUACAUGAUCUCAUUAUCCUGUUCAACAUGAUCUUAGACUCAGGCACUGAAAAGGUUCUUCUCUGCCUUCUUCUGAGAAGCUUUUGGUGAAGCCAAGACCACACCUAGCUGAUGGAAUGCUGGGAAGAGUGUGAUGUGCAGAACCUGGGCUUGCAAAGCAGUCAGGUACAUAUUGUUUCUACUGUGUGUCAAAUACAUUUGUUUAUUCUUUCCUGUCUGGACACUCCAGUAUUUGAGAUGAAGCAAGAGUCUGGAUCUCCUGCCCAGUGUUCUGUUCUAAUGCCAUCAUUGAGGAUUUCCAGAAGUCCAUGACUGUUACUUGGCCACACUAGCACAAAGAGGAGAAGAAAGCAGGGAUACCCACAUCCCUUACUAGAACAAGAAGACAGCCACACAGUCACAGGUGGGAUGAUGGAUAAUACAGGAUAUUUGCUGGAUGUGGGCCACUCCAUUCAAUAAACUGUUAAGGAAGCUCAUGAACUUAUUAUUUUGAAAAGACUUCUUCAAUUUCCCUCAUGUAUAUAAAUAGGCUGAUUGUUCGGAGUUGUAAUCAUCAUUUCGCAUCUAACAUGUAUCAAUCACCAGCUGUAUUCACCUGUCACUUCGGUGAGGUACAUAUUGUUUCUACUGUGUAUCAAAUACAUUCAUUUACUCUUCCAUCUCUGGACAUUCCAGUAUAUGAGAUAAAGCAAGAUCCAGUUAUAUGGGCACAUUGAAAAAUAAUACAAGGAAAAGAAAUGAGCAUUCAAUCUUUCUUGAUCACAAAAUGAGUGACGUUGAAAGGGCAGAAAACAGAGUGUCUCAGAGCAGCAUUUUUUGUAAUAGUCAGAACCUGGAAACAACCUAGAUGCCCUUCAAUGGAAGAAUGGAUGAAGAAAGUAUGGAAUAUAUACAUAUUAGAGUACUACUCAGCAGUAAAAAACAAUGACUUCUUGAAUUUUGCAUACAAAUGGAUGGAAAUAGAAAACACUAUCCUGAGUGAGUUCCCGAAUCCUGUCCCAAGCAUUUGAAGCUGCUGUGCUACAUAGGGACAAGUUGUGUUCAUCGUAAAGAGCCUGACCCUGAGGAUCAGAGUAAGCCCCUCACCCAGAAUUUGACUUGGGAAAUCUCAAGUCCUUAUGCUUUUUCUUUUUGCUCUAAAAUUUUUGCUUCUUCUCUCUACUAACACUUCCAAAGUAAGUGAGGACCAUUUUCUAGGACCGAUGAGAUUAACUGAGUCCUGUCUUGUGGCAUUGCUUUGUUGCAUGAAGUCCACGUUUUGACCAUGUCCCUAAUGAAGGAUGAAAGUAUUCCAUAAGAUACAAUUUUUGUUUAAUUUCCUUUAUAUCAGUCAUACGUAUGGACUCCCAUAUAUAUUCUUUGACUAUCUUAGGAUAGGUGCCAGAUGUUCUUUCUGAUGAUAUCAUCAGAAAAGCAAGUAAAUCUCUGGGUAAGCUAUUAGGAGUUCGGUACAUACUGAUGAGGCUAAAUUUUGUCUUUGUACCUUUGCCUUUGCUCAUCAAAUUUGAUAAAUUUCUCAAUCUUUUCAAAUUUUUUUACCCCUGCCUUUUGUAGAGUUUGGAUCUCCUGUCCAGUGUUUUGUUCUAAUGCCCUCAUUGAGGAUUCCCAGGUUAGAUGUCUGGACAGUAAAAGUAAUGUCUCAUCCUUGGAUAUAAUUAUUGUAGCAUGCAUAUUGCCUUCCUGGAGAGACAUACUAUCAGUCAAUCUACCAUAACUCUUUGACAGAGUCUGGUCAAUACAUUCAACAAUAUAAAUUCUCUCAGACAUUGUCUCAGCACCCUCUGUCAUUGUCUGGCUUUAGUUUUGUCAAAUUGGUGGUAUCAUUCUCCUGAGUGCUGAAUUUCUAUUUUAGUUGAUCAUUAUCAGUCUGUAAAGAGUUCUAAAUGUGCCUCAUUUGACUGGGUUUUGAUUGUCAACUUGGAUGUAUCCUUCUCCAGAGUGUUGAAUUUUUCUUGUAGUUGGUCAUUAUCAGUCUGUAAAUACUGUAUUAUUUUUAAAAAUGCCUCAUUCUUGGCCCUAUUAUAAAACCAUGCUUUUAAAGAGAAAAAAGCAAGGACAAAGCUAAUCUUCAGAUUUAAGUAGAGAGAUAUAGAAGGGAAAUUGUUUGAGUCUUGCAUAACAUCAUACGUGAUAUAAGUAAGAAGGCUAUUGAGCCUCUGCAUUGUUAAUUGUUAAAAAUAUAAAUAUUCCCUGUGGUUGAUUUCUAACUGGAGUUAGUACAAUAACCAUUACCUGCCAGUAGGUGUCAUGACACACUUGCAGCUGUGUGGUUAGUUUUAAUCUGAUUAUAUUAUUAAAAGCUAAAAUAUACUCUCAGAUUAAAAACAGUUAUGUAGUGUAAAUAACAGACUGUAUGCUUCACAGAAGUCCAUGACUGGUACGUGGCCACACUCGCAAAAAGAGGGGAAGAAAGCAGGGAAGACCGCAUCCCUUACUGGACCAAGAAGCCAGCCACAGAGUCAUGAGUUGCCAAGGCUCUCUGAGAUGUUUAAUGAGAAAAUAUGAAGGACAGCCAGGCAGGAAUUCUAUACUCAAAUGAAUGGUGUGGACCUGAUGGCAGCUGGCUAGAGCCACUGGAGACCUG